Non-coding RNA from Hydra vulgaris (swiftwater hydra), 550 nucleotides. NCBI's taxonomy places the organism in Eukaryota, Metazoa, Cnidaria, Hydrozoa, Anthoathecata, Hydridae. The record is from RefSeq and is a predicted model, not a curated record.
AUAAGGAUAUAUUUCUUAUGACUAUGGUUAAUUUUCUGGUUUUUGGUAACGAAUUAAUCCGUUAAUUUGACAAAAAAGCGCAAUCCGUUACUUUUUUUAACGGACUGUUUUUAGAGUGUGGAAUCUAGUACAAGUUCAACAAAAAGAUCUGCAGCGAGCUAUAACUGGUACAGGACCAUUUACUCUGGCACAAGAAUACCAACAGCAUGUUAUUUCUCCACAACAAUGGUCACAAAUGUCAACUGAAGACAGACAUAAAGCAGUGAAAAGGUAAUUCUAUACGAGGAUACCAAGCACAAUGUUAACAUCGACUGACUGAAAACUCAAAGUUCCUAUGCCCAAGGGCAGUAAAAAACCAGGUCAAAGGAAAAGGCCAACAGCUGAACGAUCAAUGAAAAUGCCGAAACAGCAAAGAAAAACAUGCUUUGGCAAACAAACAGAAAUAAACUGGAUUGUCUCCUUUAAAUAUAACUUUAUAACUUUACGACUUGUAAAUAAUAAGAAAUUAACAGAUGAUUGGCGCACCCAAGAGGGCCCGAUUUCUAUUAAA